GUUGGCUUGCCAACUACGACGAUAAACGAAUUUCGUAAUAACCAUUACGGACGUGGGGGCAGUACCCACCACCUCCACCAUUUACAACUUACGGGGGUGAAAUAGGAUCGACGGGUGACUAAAGGCUAUUCUUUCGUUCGGGAUUGUUCCACCGUAACGGGCUAAACUUUAAAUGCUGACGAA
RNAcentral lists this transfer-messenger RNA (183 nucleotides) under marine metagenome. Its description in RNAcentral is "transfer-messenger RNA Pelag_ubiqu_HTCC10". It matches the Rfam family "Alphaproteobacteria transfer-messenger RNA", at positions 40 to 239 of the family's 355-position model. From Rfam's summary of the family: Bacterial tmRNA, also known as 10Sa RNA or SsrA, is named for its dual tRNA and mRNA-like properties. The record is from RNAcentral.